This is an RNA transcript of Tympanuchus pallidicinctus (lesser prairie-chicken), 3769 nucleotides long. It is a transcript of the gene named zinc finger CCCH domain-containing protein 11A-like, with no coding region annotated. Lineage: Eukaryota; Metazoa; Chordata; Aves; Galliformes; Phasianidae. The transcript is spliced from 12 exons. The record is from RefSeq and is a predicted model, not a curated record.
AUCAGAAUCACGUAUUGACUUUUGAUAUUUGUCUUUCUAUUCCUUUAGCAACUGGGGUGUUGAUGCUGCUGCACGUAUCUCCCAUUUUGCCCUUCUGCUUUGUGUAAAAGAAUAGCAAAACAUGCCAUCUCUGUGUGCAAUUUCUGAACACAGCGGUGAUGCAGGCACUCGCUGAGGUCACAGUGGCUGCCGGGCUGGGAGCGUUUGUGCCCCAGCUGGGAGCAGAGCUGGUGCUCUAGUGAGCGUGGUGCACACUGAGACCGAGCUCUGUGCUUUCAUUGAGAGAUCUUCCUGUGAGAGCCCACUGGAAGCAGCGCUGCGGCGUGUGUGAGAGCUGGGCACAGCUCCGGCUGAGCAGUGGCCAGGUGCAAAACUAUGGAGGAGAUGGAGAAGAACGCUUGCUGUCAGAACUCAUGGCAGCUGCGUGGGAGCUGGAUGUAUUUGGGAGACAGUUCUCAUUAGUAGUUGGUUUGGAGUAUUGCCCUGCCCGAUAGCUUAAACUGCAUAGCAGAAGAAAGCUGGGAAAAUGCUUUUUCCUCUUUUUCACUUGCAGGUUCUUUCUUCAGGGUUGGUUUACAAAAGGAGGUGUUGGGGACUGAGGCAGUUGAAGAGUGAAGCCAGCUCUUUCCACCAGCGGGGGGUCAGUCCCUGUGGAGAGGACCCCAGGAACGUGAGCUUCCUCUGAGACGUUCCCCACAUGUCCCAGCAGGGACACAGACGCGGUUCCCAUUCCUGCUUUGCGCGUGGAAAGAAGCAGCGCCGUGCUGUUCCCCAUGCUAGGGAGCAGCAGCCAGCAGGCUGCCCCAGUGCCAGCUGGGCCUUGCAGCGCGCAGAGGGACGCGAUGGGGACGGAGCAUCCUUAGCACCAUGCACAAGGACGGAGCCUGCGCGUCCAUGGAAUGGUGCUGGGCAUGGGGGGAAACGGAAAGCCUCCCCAGGAGCUGAUGACAACAGGCUUGCAGGGAGGCAGGGGAGGAGCAAGGAGAGUGGCCCAGCACCCAAGAGAGGGAGAGGUGCUGAGCCAAAUGGCGAAAGCUACGUGCAAACUCCUCUCCAGGCUGGAGGGCUUCCUGAAGCAGCAGGUCCCAGCAGAGGGGGAACAGCUGCUCCUGCAGUUGCCAACUGCUCCUCCUCCAAGAUCGUGGUCGCAAGAAAGCGCAAGGGAGUGGAAGAGGAGGAGCAGGAGGCAGAGCUGGGUCCUGCCAACAAACAAGUGAAAGUGGAGCACAAUGGGGAGAAGGCUCAGAGCCCUCAUCAGAGCAGAGGUGCUGUGCCAGCUCCAUCAGCACAGCCUGGGCCUGCCCCAGUGCCGACCGAGAGGUUCCGGACCUCAAAGCGAAGAGAAAGACGACGACGACAGAAAGAAAGGAGAGCAGAAAUGAAGAAGGCUGCUCUCAGAGCUGCUGCUGCACAUGCAGAGUUCUCCACCAUGAACAGCCUUGUGGAGAUGAUGGAGAAGCUGCAGCUGAAGGACUGAGCGGAGGAGCAUCAGCAGGCAGCGGCUUUGUGGCAGCAGCCCAACUUGGCGCUCUGGGUUCAAUCCAUCAAUAAACAAUUGGAGUUUUGCAUUCACAAGGAGCGCAUGGCCUGAUUUGUCCAGCGGCACCCAGUGAGCUGCUGCUCCACCUCCUGGUUAUUGCUCCACCUCCUCGUUGUUCCUCUGGCGGCGCUGGGUCAGAGCUCCCACAGCUCCAUCAGGGAAUGCUGCAGGGUACAGAAGCAAUGGACGCACCAAUCCUGGGCCCUGCCCACAGACGCACUGUCUGAGCAGUUAGAGAGCAGCUCCAUAGAGCCGUCUGACUUUCUCGGGGCAGCACUGAGCAAAGUGAGCGUGUGCCCCUCAGCCUGCAGGCGUCUCUGCUGGGGGAAGAGAGGCUCCGCUGGCCGCCUGAUCCCGGAAGGCAGAGCUGUUCUCCUGACUUCUCUGCAGUGCUGCCUUCCUUCAUCGUCCCCCCUUUCUUCAGAUAUUUUGAUGCUACUUUUCACCCUUUGGGGCGGAGCUUGAGUGACUCUCAUCAUUGCAGAGCUUUGUACUGAGCGGAGUGGAAUUUUCUGGCUUUGUUUCUACAAGCCUAGGCUGAAAACCGCAGCGUGCGUGCGAGAUGGGAGUCCUAGCACUCUGGAAGUGGAUAAGUGUUGGGAUGGAGCUGCUUUUGGUUUUCUAAUGAGUGCAUAAGGAGCAAAGUUUGCCAACAGGAUGGUGUUUGCUCAACUAAUGACUAGGAGCGAUGUGCAGAGGAAGAUGGCAGUUGGCAGAUGGUGCGUGGCCAGAGCUGCUGUUUCUGUCCUGCAGCCGGGAAUGCUCCACGCCGAGGGGUGCGGGCUGUGAGAGGAACCUGUCUGUGGAAGCGUGGCCGUUCCUCCCGUCUGAUGGGGCAGAAGGCAGGGACAGGAGAGGAAAGCUGAACAGAUGUGCAUUUUCGUCACGGCUCUUCCUGUGUGGGAAAUGAGCUGUGCCACUGUGCUUCUUUGUGCUGGCUAGUUCUGGAGCUGUGCCUUCGACUUGAUGCUCAGCUGUUCCUGUGUGCAAUGCUCCACACUCGGACCCUGCAGAGCCCAGAGGCCUCCUUGGCUGCUGUCACUCACCUGGAGCUUGCAGGGUGCUGUGCGUGCUGGAUGUAGCUGCUUCCAGCUGUCAUUUGCAAGGCCCUGCUUUGAUCUCCAACCGAGCCUGUUGUGCUGUGGAGAGCAGUGGAAGCCGUUCAGUUGCAUGACCAAGGGGUGCAGCCUGGUUCCCCCCUCCCUAAGGGGGAGGCUCAUGGAAGGGCUGGCUGCCUGCAGGGAAGGAGCUCUGCUGUUUUGUGCGCCCUGUUGCUCAGAAUGGGGUCAGCAGUUCUGUGGAGAUUUCCUGGGUUGAGUCCUUUGUGUUUCUCGGGUAACUUAAAGCUGUGUCUGCUCUUGCCUCUGUUUGCAGCUGCCGCGCCUCUGGCCUUGGCCCCCACAGAAGCCCCUCCUGGUUGUCAGUGGCAGCUGUUAGCUGUGCAGUGCCAGCAGUCUGUGGAAACGGCAGCACUUGGGAGGAUGACACAGUUUGCCUGAUUUUAUGCUUUCUGGAUGCGGUCAGGGCAUGGGCACAGCUGACAACACACUGAUGGUGUCCUGCUGGGAAAUGGAUGCGCUGGAUGGCAGAGGAGGAUUCUGAGCCCAGUAUGGGAUCAUCUUUGUUCCUUCGUGAAGGGUCCCCUGAGACGAGCACUGAGUCAGCCUCGGGAGCGCAUUGAAGGCAACUCAGCUGUGUGAGCAGAAGGGCUGCAGCCUGGCUGCGCCUCUCCUGGGCCCCACCGAAGGACCGACUGCCUCUGGGGAAGGAUCUCUCUCUGGACGUCGCCCCUCUUGGAGUCUUUUCCCGCGAGCCCAGGUCACAGGUAAGCUCUCCGUUCAUUUCUGAUUCUCCCUCUCUAAUGCGACCAUCUUUGCAGCCUGCCCUCUCUGCAUCCUUACUGAUUGACAUCUGGGAUCUGGUUGUUGAUGCGCUUGGCGAGCCAGGCAGGCCAAAGGUGCUGCCAGGAAAGGAAGGGUGGCCGUGGUGGGCGACUCCCUUCUCGGAGGAAUGCAGGGCCCCAUCUGCAGACUGGACCCGAAGCACUGGGAAGUGUGCUGCCUUCCUGGGUCAGGGCCAUAGCCAGGAACCUCCCCAGGCUGGUUAGGGCCACUGGUUCUUUUCCUUUACUCGUAGUUCAGCUUAGCAGUGAGGAAAUUGCUCAGAGAAGGCUACAAAUGAUGACGAGAGAUUUCAGUGGUUUCUGGGAUGUGGGGCUUUUGUGGGGUA